This 214-nucleotide unclassified non-coding RNA is filed under the name Hevea brasiliensis (rubber tree). Lineage: Eukaryota; Viridiplantae; Streptophyta; Magnoliopsida; Malpighiales; Euphorbiaceae. The record is from RNAcentral.
CCAUCAUUGCCAAAGCAAAGAAAACUGUCGACAGGAAUGAUUUGAGUGCAAAGAGAGCAAAAGCCGCUCCGACUACUGUCACACAAAUCCUGGCUAUUGGUCUUGGGAUGGCAUCAGGUACCAUGUUGGUUCCAGCUUCAACUCCAUCCUUUCCAACUCUCCAUGCAGUUUGAAGAACUUUUAAGAAAUUGGAUUGAGCUGCAAAAAUUAAAGG